GGCCCUAUCGUCUAGCCAGGCCUAGGACACUAGAUUUUCAUUCUAGCGACCGGGGUUCAAAUCCCCGUAGGGUCA
RNAcentral lists this transfer RNA (75 nucleotides) under Planctomycetota bacterium. RNAcentral's name for it is "Planctomycetes bacterium tRNA-Glu". It matches the Rfam family "tRNA". From Rfam's summary of the family: Transfer RNA (tRNA) molecules are approximately 80 nucleotides in length. The record is from RNAcentral. Lineage: Bacteria; Pseudomonadati; Planctomycetota.